Molecule: long non-coding RNA, 744 nt
Organism: Danio aesculapii
Lineage: Eukaryota; Metazoa; Chordata; Actinopteri; Cypriniformes; Danionidae
Exons: 3
Source: RefSeq, a predicted model, not a curated record
CAAGUUUUUCAGCAGCAACCUGAAAACUUUCAAGUUAUUCUACAUCCAGUCCACUUGGUGUCAGCAUUAAGUUCAAGACAACUUACAACAACACAAACUGGCAAAAAAGUGACUUCCAGUCAUAUGAAAAUGUACAAUUUCGAAGGAGUCGUGCAUCCAAACAACACCCAACCAUCACCGGGGAUGAGCUAUUCAUACUAAAUGCACAAAUGAGAUCAUGCAAAUUCCUACGGAGUAGCCACUGACUCAUUUCAGGCUUUUGCUCUCACACUACAAACGUACCGCACCAAAGCCCAACCGAACCAAACAGCACUGGGACACCUCUUCCUACUGGGCCAGGGCCAGCCAACUCGAUUCUCACUAUGAGUGUGAGGAGAAACAACUGCAGCUUGGAGCGGAAAGAACAUUGGCAGACCAUGACCAUAGAAAAAAGGAAAGAAAAGGAAACCACUACAGAGUCAAUAGAUCCCUGUAAAGAUGUAAUCUGUGCUCAUAUAAGCAGUAUGGCAUGACAGAUGUUGACCACAGAAGACCUUUCCUGGAAGGGUAGUCAUUCCAAGCAAGACAGAAAACUAAGUGGACAAAAGUAUUAAAUUAAAACAGAAAGAUACAAUGUCAUGUUGCACUAAAUGAUUUAACACUCCACUAUGUAAACCCACAAAGUAGGAAUAAGGAUUUUAAAGUAAAAAUCAAGCAAAAAUGUCCAAAUAAGAGUGACAUUGUAACAUUGUGAAAAAAUUAUUG